Molecule: long non-coding RNA, 547 nt
Filed under: Homo sapiens (human)
Lineage: Eukaryota; Metazoa; Chordata; Mammalia; Primates; Hominidae
Description: HSALNT0156670
Source: RNAcentral
ACCCUUUUGAGUUGCUGGCUCGGGUCUUCUCCUUCCUCUGGCCAAGGCCAGGUGGACACCCAUGUGGAGUGUGAUGGCUCAGGGUGUGGACCCUGGGACCGAACUCUCUGGGCUCAAAUCCUGGCCCUGCCACUUACAGGCUGUGUGACCUAGGGAGAGUUUCUCCACUCUCUCUGUUUCCUUGUCUGCAGAAUGGGGUAGCGGCGGUUCCCACCCCAUAGGGUCAUCGCAAAGGAUGAAGCACGUUGGCACUGGAAGAGUUUAGUGCAGCGCCAGGCAUGGAAUCAGUGGCAUCAGCGUCAGUCUACGAAACCCCAAAAACAUCCUGUGUCCAAGGGCAGCUGAGCCACCCUCCGCUGCUGCCGCCCUGGGCUGCCGGGACCACUGGCUCAUUGGCCGCACAGCUACCUGCUUUCCUCUCUCUGUCUUCCCGACACAGCCCGAGGGUCCCACUCUUUCUGCAGAGAAGGGCAUUUCUUCUGGAACAUGUGUCUCAGCCCCGACUCACCCCCUUCCAGUUUCCAUCCCUCAGUGAGUCAAAAGUGAC